GGUAAUCCGCAACCUCUAAAAUACUAGCACACCUUCAAGAAGAGGGGUAAUCCACUCUCUAACAAGAAGGAACUAGCUCUGAUACCAGUGAAAAUGUAGUCUCGACAAACUGUCACGGACACAAAAUACAGACUUAAAAUCUAACAAGAAGUUCAAGAAGAAGUGGUAGAACUAGAUUAAACAGAUGAGUACAAGAACAACACCAGAAAGGUGAGCUAGAACUCUAAGAGAUGUGUUG
Molecule: long non-coding RNA, 238 nt
Filed under: Physcomitrium patens
Lineage: Eukaryota; Viridiplantae; Streptophyta; Bryopsida; Funariales; Funariaceae
Description: long non-coding RNA (PPAT_LNC002363)
Source: RNAcentral